GACUUACAUUGCACUGAUAUUUAGAAACUACAUCAAGACACUGUGCUUGGAGGUUUACAGGCAGAGGUAAAAAUAUACACGCAAGCAGGUAAAGAAAAGUAUGCAGUAUUCUUGGUGCUAUUUAAUUCCUUACAGUUUUCAGCUCUGGAGUCAUGUUCAGUACUCUGUGCUGUUUCAUCUGUGAUGAUGUUGUUAUGUCCACGGCUCAUGAAAUAAGGCACAGACACGUCCCAACUGCUGUUAUUUCUGUGACUGUAAUGACUUGCUGUGUAUCUGCUCUGAUGGUCAGUUGUUUCUCCUGCUUCAUAAGAACUCAGGCCAUUUUAAAAAGCAUCUUUCAUUUGUCAUAUCGAUUUAAACUGAUA
This 365-nucleotide long non-coding RNA is filed under the name Apteryx rowi (Okarito brown kiwi). Its description in RNAcentral is "lncRNA (ENSARWG00000005287.1)". The record is from RNAcentral. Lineage: Eukaryota; Metazoa; Chordata; Aves; Apterygiformes; Apterygidae.